Molecule: long non-coding RNA, 910 nt
Organism: Juglans microcarpa x Juglans regia
Lineage: Eukaryota; Viridiplantae; Streptophyta; Magnoliopsida; Fagales; Juglandaceae
Exons: 2
Source: RefSeq, a predicted model, not a curated record
UUCUCUAGACAUGGUUUUCUUUUUUUUUCCUCUUAUAAAUAGAGGCCUUUGGCACUCUUUACAUUGCCAUCCUCCACUCUCUCUCUCUCUCUCUCUCUCUCUCUCUCUCUCUCUCUCUCUCUCUCUCCCCCCCACUCCCUCUCUCUCAGACUAAUAAGAGGGGAGGAUUAAGAUCAGGAGGCAAGUGGUGAUGUUGUUGACAGAAGAUAGAGAGCACAGAUGAUGAUAUGCGCAAUAUGCAUGGUUUUUGCAUCUCACUCCUUUGUGCUCUCUAUGCUUCUGUCAUCACCUUAAUUCAGCCCCUCAUCCCACUGAUCCCAUCUUUGAUCACUCCUUUAAUCAACUGCAGCAUUACUUUGAUUAUAUAUCUUAUUUUCUUCCUCUUGAACAUUCUUUUUGUCAAUUAUAUAUGACAGUUUUCGAACCUGUACUAAUAGAUGUUAGUGUUAUGUAUUUUUCCAGUUCGAAUCAAGGAAGAGGCCAGAGAAUUAGGCACUAUUAUUGAAAUGGUCAGUAAGGUAAUUUCCAAUGAUGAUAGAUAUUAAGAUGUGAUUCCUAAAGGGAAGGCACAACUUGCUUUGUGGGAGAUAAGGAAAAUGCACAAGGAAAGGAAGCUCCAAAGAAAAAAGACAUUUGGGUCUAGCUGACACAGCCAAAUUAAGUAGGCCUCACAUUCAGGAUCCACCUGGAAUUACAAUUCUGCAGGUUGCAAAUUUGCUGGAAAGUGUCAUGUGCCUAAUAUGUAUGAAUAAGUUACAUAUAUACCUUUAUUCAAAACAUGGCAAUCUGAUCAUGAAUCGCCAAAUAGCCCAAAAUUGUUGAGUGAGAAUCCGAGCAUGUAGACCCUAGAUGCAUGAUCAUUAUGUGAUCUUUUAACUUUUAUAGAAUUUUUUUUCUGAGUUCCUAGAAA